RNAcentral lists this ribosomal RNA (460 nucleotides) under uncultured bacterium. Its description in RNAcentral is "partial 16S ribosomal RNA". It matches the Rfam family "Bacterial small subunit ribosomal RNA", at positions 338 to 795 of the family's 1533-position model. The record is from RNAcentral.
CCUACGGGCGGCAGCAGUGAGGAAUAUUGGUCAAUGGCCGUAAGGCUGAACCAGCCAAGUAGCGUGAGGGAAGACUGCCCUAUGGGUUGUAAACCUCUUUUAUGCGGGGAUAAAGGUGUCCACGCGUGGAUGUUUGCAGGUACCGCAUGAAUAAGGACCGGCUAAUUCCGUGCCAGCAGCCGCGGUAAUACGGAAGGUCCGGGCGUUAUCCGGAUUUAUUGGGUUUAAAGGGAGCGUAGGCCGGUCUUUAAGCGUGCCGUGAAAUUUUGUGGCUCAACCAUGAGAGUGCGGCGCGAACUGGAGAACUUGAGUGCGCGGAAGGCAGGCGGAAUUCGUGGUGUAGCGGUGAAAUGCUUAGAUAUCACGAAGAACCCCGAUUGCGAAGGCAGCCUGCCGCAGCGUUACUGACGCUGAAGCUCGAAAGUGUGGGUAUCAAACAGGAUUAGAUACCCGGGUAGUC